This 1152-nucleotide long non-coding RNA is filed under the name Equus asinus (donkey). Its description in RNAcentral is "lncRNA (ENSEASG00005036034.1)". Lineage: Eukaryota; Metazoa; Chordata; Mammalia; Perissodactyla; Equidae. The record is from RNAcentral.
UUAACAUGCACCUGAGUCACCUGGGGAUCGGUUAAAAUGCAGAUUCUAGUUCAGUAGGCCUGGGGUGGGGCCAAGACUGCAUUUCUAACAGGCGUCCUAGCGAUGCAAACGCGGCUGCCACGCUCCUCUAAGGAAUGGGAAGGAGGCCACUCCAGGCCCGCCAGGCGCUGCGCCACUCUCUCCCGCUUCCGCCCCCGCGGCAGCAUCGCCGCAGCCUCAGAGUCUGGCUUCGUCACAUUAAAAUCAGAUUCCAGGGCGGCUAGAGCUCCAGGCCGGGCCUCAGUGGGGAGGGGCUCCGCCUGGAAAGACUGCGGAUGCCUCUGCCUCCUGUUGGGGCCUGGGCUCCGGAAGCCAGCCCCGCCCUGGCUAAGCAGGCUCUCGGCGCCGAAAAGGACCGGGACAGAAGUUUCCAAAGAGGACCCUUUGUCCCCCCACCCUCUCCGCGGUGGUGGCCGACGCCGCGCCGCGCCCGCCGGGGCACGCAAUGUGCCAGCGCCGCUGCUGCACCUUUCUGCCGUCCUCCGGGCGCGGCGACCUGGAGAAAGAUCUAGCAAAAUGAGGAUUCCGGGCGCCGCCCCCCUUCCCUUCUCCGCUCCAUCCCCGAAUGACGGGGCUUCCUGGUGGAAAUGUGUGUCACCUGAUCUGCUCUAAAGUAUUUUAAGUCUGGGAACUUGACCGUUUGCGAGGAUGGGAUGGGAUGGGGGUAGGGGGGUCUUCAGAGCUAAAGACUUUGCAGCUGGCACGCAGCUUUGCAGGGAGCGCUCUCGGCGGGGCAGGCGAGCUGGACGCAGCGCGAGCUUCUCUUCCAGAAAGCAUCCUUGGGCUCUCUGUAUUUGCUGAGAGGAUAGAAGCAGCUUUUUAAGGCCUCCCCUAUCCACUCAACCCCUCCCUGCUUUCUGUCUCACCUCGUAGGAUGGAAAGAAAAAAGAAAACAGCUGUGACUAGCGGCGACUGGAGGGUGGGUGGCGCCGAGGCAGAACUGAAUGUGCAGAAACCCCAGGGGCGGCUCACAGUGGACUCCCUGCUGAGGGGCAUUUGUUUCAGGGCUAUGUCUCCCAGCCCCCCAGGAAAAGUGCCGGAAGCUGUAGAAGCUGAGUCAGCGUCGACUGCUAACGUCUGGAGACUUCGCAAGUCACAUGCCCGUUUCUGAGU